CGGAAAUGCUGUCACUGCCGCUGAGACGCACGUGGAGGUUUGUUAAAGGAAUGUGGCUGCCCCGCCUGCCCUGCCUGCCUCUCGGGUAGCUGGACCUGUGUGAGCACUAAUUGGGAAUGAGUGCCGGUCCACUCAGGCCGCUUUGCUCAUGGGCCACACUCUGAGCGCCGCGAGGCCACUUCUGCCCUGGCCCUGGACCCCAGAGCACCAAGACGAGAUCCUGAGAGGAGGACUGAGGCAGAGCUGAUUCCUGACUUGGGGACCAACACAUGACCACCGCCAGGCUGAUGACCAGUGGGCACCCCACUGGCUCUCCAGAGGGCCUGCAGCCUGCUCUUCCACCAGCACCACCACCACCAUGGGAAGCCUGUUUGCCUGCCUGCUGUGGUGGUGCCAUCCGAGGGACCCAGGCUGGGCUUUCCUGGAGGUCAGUGGGUCCUGGGUCAAGUGGAGAGGAGGGACUGAGAACCCUGCUCACCUUGUGCAGGCAGGGGAAGGAGAGGUGACAGGAGCCUGAGCCUUCAGA
This is a long non-coding RNA of Lepus europaeus (European hare), 526 nucleotides long. RefSeq lists it as uncharacterized. Lineage: Eukaryota; Metazoa; Chordata; Mammalia; Lagomorpha; Leporidae. The record is from RefSeq and is a predicted model, not a curated record. The transcript has 3 exons.